UCCCGGUUGGCCCGGGCAGUCUCGCAUGAAAAAUACAACAUACGAUAAGGGUUGCGCUCGUUGCGGGACUUAACCCAACAUUUCACAACACGAGCUGACGACGGCCAUGCAGCACCUGUCAUUAGGCUCCCGAAGGCACCCUCUUAUCUCUAAAAGGUUCCUAAGAUGUCAAGCCUCGGUAAGGUUCUACGCGUAGCGUCAUAUUAAACCACAUCCUCCUCUGCUUGUGCGGGUCCCCGUCAAUUCCUUUGAGUUUUAGCCUUGCGGCCGUACUUCCCAGGCGGCAUACUUAUCGCGUUAGCUGCGACGCACAGGGGGUCGAUACCCCAUACGUCUAGUAUGCAUCGUUUACGGCGUGGACUAC
Molecule: unclassified non-coding RNA, 364 nt
Filed under: uncultured bacterium
Lineage: Bacteria
Description: contains 16S-23S intergenic spacer region
Source: RNAcentral